GGAGAGGCUGACAGAUUUCAGGCUCUCUGGGAGGAGUGAGAACUGGUAUCUGUCGGGGAACCUCUGCUUCUUAACGAUUUGAUGCAAUCCCACUUUGUUUAUUCUUUUGUUAAUCCCUUACCUUUGUUUUCCGCCCUGAAUUCCUCUCCAUGAACUCUCCUCCUGCUUGGCUGUGAGAAGGACACUAAGUAGAUCCGGUGUUGUCGCCUAAAGCAGACAGUUUCUGUGCUCUGUGUUACAGUGGUGACUGAAGCCUCAACCAGCUGUCCCAGUGAGCAGUUGGGGUCCCAGUUCCUGCAGAAAGCAAUUCCAGAGGCCACAGCAGAGAAUUCAUCCUCAGGCAUCCCCUCAGGGCAAGGAGAGAGCCAGCCCUGGGCAGAAGUAGGGUUUCAGUUCAUUUCCAGACCUGCUGGUGCUGCUCUCCAUGUACAGAGACAAUCUGCUGUUGCUGUCACUACCUCCAGGAGCAAAGAUCUGGGGCAUGGAUCCCAACAUUCCAGCAUUGCAGAUGAGCCAUUCCAGUUUUAAUGUAACAAAAUACCAUAGAAUUUAUUGCUUCAGUGUGUUUUAAAAGAAAACUUUGGGAAAUUAACUUAAAAGUUGCUUUAAAUAACACUCUGGCUAUUGCUAUCAGCAAGUCCUCAGCUGUAUGUUUACAUCCUUUUUUUUCAUGCAAUUCCUGCCUCACUUGAAGCCUUUUUACUGGAAGUUAAAGGCACAGAGUGAGCAAGCAGGUGAUUACAGCCAGUCUCAGUGUUACAGCAGCUGAAUGCUGCCCUGGGGAGUUGUAUUUUACCCCUGGCAGAACUGUAAAAUUCGUUAUUUCAAUUCUGAGAUUACAGACAUUGCAAAAGUGUGUUUUCAUUUCAAAGCACAAUGAAACCAAUUGGAAACACUGAAAUUUUCCAUGAGGCAGAAAUGCUGGAUUUUGUCCAGCUCUUGUUGUGACUUCAUUCUCAUGAAGCCUUUGGAUGUUUGGGGAUGAGCAAUCUAGAACUGUCUCUGAGAAGAUUAUUAAUUCCUCAUUUGGAGCUAGAUGUGAGCAACACUUCAUUAGUCCAGGAUGAACAGUGGGGAAAGACAAAAAUAUUUAUUAACUGCUGAAUAUGUGAGCGUUGGGCAUCCAGAAUACUAAAAACA
Molecule: long non-coding RNA, 1140 nt
Filed under: Manacus vitellinus (golden-collared manakin)
Lineage: Eukaryota; Metazoa; Chordata; Aves; Passeriformes; Pipridae
Description: lncRNA (ENSMVIG00005002415.1)
Source: RNAcentral